AAUAAUGCUAAGAAAUGGACUGAGAUCAAAUCAAAUCAAAUCAAAUGUGAAAUUCAUGAUCUCAUCAGCCAGUCUAGUCUGAGCAGAUACACUAAAUCAAAAAUCAGAUUUAAUGACAAAAGAAAAUCAGAAACAAGUGAUACUCAUCAAAGAUAUGAAAGAUAGAAUAGCAUUCAAUUGACAAGUAAUACAAAUCAUGAAAAUUCUAUCAGUAAAUAAUGGAAAUAUAUAGAAGAUCAGAAAAGCCACAGCAGAAGAUAAACAGGCUAAAAAUAUAAUCAAAAAUAAUAAAAUAAUCUAUCACAAUAGAUUAAUUUACAUUUCAAAAGCAGUAUAGAAUAAUAUAAUGCAAGAAAAUCAUGAUACAGUAACUACAGAAUAUUUCAGAAUCAAUAAAAUAAUAGAAAGAAUUAUCAGAAUAUACUACUGAUUAGAAAUGUAGAAAGAUAUUCAAAAAUAUAUAUAGAAUUACAAUAUAUAUCAAUGAAGCAAGUC
RNAcentral lists this small RNA (495 nucleotides) under Histoplasma capsulatum. Its description in RNAcentral is "hypothetical RNA". RNAcentral also lists the same sequence under 1 other name. Lineage: Eukaryota; Fungi; Ascomycota; Eurotiomycetes; Onygenales; Ajellomycetaceae. The record is from RNAcentral.